Molecule: ribosomal RNA, 1372 nt
Filed under: uncultured bacterium
Lineage: Bacteria
Description: bacterial SSU rRNA
Rfam family: Bacterial small subunit ribosomal RNA
Source: RNAcentral
GAUUAACGCUGGCGGCAUGCCUAAUACAUGCAAGUCGAACGCCAAAUCUUCCUGCUUGCAGGAAGAGGCCGAGUGGCGAACGGGUGAGUAACACGUGAGGAACUUGCCCAUAAGAGGGGGAUAACACCCGGAAACGGGUGCUAAUACCGCAUAAGUUUUCCCACCGCAUGGUGGGAAAAUAAAAGGUGGCUUUGCUCCCCCUCAUGGAUAGCCUCGCGGCGCAUUAGCUAGUUGGUACGGUAGAGGCCUACCAAGGACAUGAUGCGUAGCCGACUUGAGAGGGUGAUCGCCCACACUGGAACUGAGACACGAGUCCAGACUCCUACGGGAGGCAGCACUAGGGAAUCUUCCACAAUGGGUGCAAGCCUGAUGGAGCAAUGCCGCGUGAGUGAAGAAGGACUUCGGUUCGUAAAGCUCUGUUGCUGCGGAAGAACACGGAUAGGAGUCACCGCCUAUCCCUUGACGGUACCCAACCAGAAAGUCACGGCUAACUACGUGCCAGCCGCCGCGGUAAUACGUAUGUGACAAGCGUCGUCCGGAUUUAUUGAUCGUAAAGCGAGCGCAGGCCGUCCGGUAAGUCCGAUGCGAAUGCCCACCGCUCAACCGUAGAACGAGUUUGGACACUGGCGGACUUGAAUGUAGCAGAGGAAAGGGGAAUUUCCAUGUGUAGCGGUGGAAUGCGUAGAUAUAUGGAGGAACACCAGUGGUGAAAGCGACUUUCUGGGCUAUGAUUGACGCUGAGGCUCGAAAGCGUGGGGAGCGAACAGGAUUAGAUACCCUGGUAGUCCACGCCGUAAACGAUGAGUGCUAAGUGUUGGAGGGUUUCCGCCCUUCAGUGCUGGAGUUAACGCAUUAAGCACUCCGCCUGGGGAUUACGACCGCAAGGUUGAAACUCAAAAGAAUUGACGGGGACCCGCACAAGCGGUGGAGCAUGUGGUUUAAUUCGAAGCAACGCGAAGAACCUUACCAGCUCUUGACAUCUUCUGCUAGCUUCAGAGAUGAAGGGUUCCCUUCGGGGACAGAAUGACAGGUGGUGCAUGGUUGUCGUCAGCUCGUGUCGUGAGAUGUUGGGUUAAGUCCCGUAACGAGCGCAACCCUUAUUGUUAGUUGCCAGCAUUGAGUUGGGCACUCUAGCAAGACUGCCGGUGAUAAACCGGAGGAAGGCGGGGAUGACGUCAAAUCAUCAUGCCCCUUAUGAGCUGGGCUACACACGUGCUACAAUGGAUGGUACAACGAGUGGCGAGACCGCGAGGUUUAGCUAAUCUCCCAAAGCCAUUCUCAGUUCGGAUUGCAGGCUGCAACUCGCCUGCAUGAAGUCGGAAUCGCUAGUAAUCGCGGAUCAGCAUGAAGCGGUGAAUUCGUUCCCGGGUCU